RNAcentral lists this long non-coding RNA (2188 nucleotides) under Paramuricea clavata. The record is from RNAcentral. Lineage: Eukaryota; Metazoa; Cnidaria; Anthozoa; Malacalcyonacea; Plexauridae.
UGACUUUUCUACGCUGUUUUCAAAUAGCUCCGGCGUGGCGGAACACUUGGCGGCUUCUUGUGACUUGCGAACACAAACACGUGGCAGGUUUUGUCGGAUAAUUUGCAGAAAUUCACUUCGAAAUUCGUUCAAGUAAAAUUCGGACUGAAAUUCGAUGUAACUUGCGACUGAUUGACAAGCGUUGCUGUGUUUACUUUACAUGUUAAUGCAUUUUUUAGUAUUACUGCAUUCCUUAACCUCGCCCUUAAUAUGAAAGCCAUUUCUAUUUUCUAGACACGCACCUCGCAAGGAAGCUUUAUUGACUAUAUACUAAAACAAAUUGUUUUGAGUUCAAUUCACAUAGCAGUCUCUUAAUUCGAGCAACAGUUUAAUAACUAUUAUUUUUAACACUUGAAUAAUUCAAACUUAUAUAUACGAACGAAAACUGCAAACUAUAUAAAUAAAGCGUGUCAAUUUUCGACUCAAUCUCAAUCAACAUGCAGGAUACGCUGUUACAGCGAGUUAGUUUUUGGUGGCCAUGCAUGCAAAAGUGGGCCGCUUAUUUUGCUUACGAGUUACGUGGACGUAUAAUUAUUGCUGUUACAUAAACGUUCCGGUGUUCAAGAGCUACAUAUAGCUGAUAAAAAUUGCGUGCUCAUUAUAAUCGCCGAUCACAUAGCUUUAUCACAGUCUCAAACCUUCAGACAAACAUAUCCGCAUCCCUCUCCCCCCCUUCGGACAUCCUAAGACAUUUUUCCUCCCUCCCCCUUCGGACAGCAAAAAUUUCCUCCGUGGGGGGGGGGGGGUAUGGAUCUUUUCUGGAACGACCCGAUGCCGAACGACUUUAUUGUUAAGGGGAGAGUGUUGGUAUGACUGUACAGUAUAUUCGUAUUCAACAUACUUAUUUAAUAUAUGCACCAUUUGUACCAGUUUUAUAGUUAACCCUCAGAUGUGUAAUGGCUUCCCUUCCACAUGCACUGGGAGACCGACAGACCUACCAAAACAAGACAGGCAACCAAGGAGACCGGCAGACCCACCAAAACAAGACAGGCAAGCAUGUAAGUUUACUGAUAUUUUUCUUUGUGAUAUAAGUUAACACAUUGCGCCCUGAUGUGCCCUGCUUUAUUAUUUUACUCUGUCUAACGCCAGAUGAUUUACUCAUCAAGGGCAGAGCUCUGGUGCUUAAUGGAUUAACUGGCCUAUCUGCCCAUGUGUCUAGUUAAUCCAUUGAGUUGCAUUGCACCGAUGUGCCUUGCUUUAUUAUUUUACUCUGUCUACUGCCAGACAAUUUACUCAUCAAGGGGAGAGCUCUGGCAUUUAAUAGGUACAGUAACUUAACUGGCCUAUCUGGCCAUAUGUCUAAUAAUCUAGUUAAUCCAUUCAGUUGCAUUGUGCCAAUGCGCCCUGCUUUAAGUAUUAUUUUACUCUGUCUAACGAUUUAGUCGUAUGACAUGUGGACAGUGACUGACUGAAACAGUACAGGCUUGACUGCAGUCACUGACAAGAAGAAAAUUCAGAUCUCACAAUGUAUAUUAAUUUUACUGUAUAAACCAUAUAAUAUAAACCAUAUAAUUUCUAAACCAUUUAUAUAUUUCAUUUAUAUAUUUCUAAACCAUUUAUAAACCAUAUAAACCAUAUAAUUUCUUUUAUUAGUCCAUGCUGACAGCAAAUGCCUUAACUGAGGUGGAUAGGCCCAAGAAUUUUUCGAAAUUAACUAAGAAUGCAAGAAAAAGAUUCAAUGUGAACUGGAGAAGCAGGAGAACUGUUAAGAGAACACAAACAUACAGUAUUUGUUUUAAUAUUUUAGUAAUGAUAUUAUAUGCAUUUCUUAAUUUUAAUCUUUGGUCUUGUCCCUUCAUGGUGUUACUGGUAACCCACCCCUAAUUUUUUAUUUCUGCAUGCUUUUAGUUGAGUAAUGCAUAUACAGGGUGUAUCCAAAAAUGUCCCAAAUGGAUAAUUUCCUCAAAAUCACACAAAAUUUGGGAUAUUUUUUGUAACCGAGAGUAAAUAUACUGUAUGUAUAUUGUAAUUAAGUUUUUAUUAUUUUGUAAUUUGUAUAUUUCGAAUAAACUAGUGUCUGAUGUGGUAUAUCAAACCUGCAUAGGACGUAACUUUCUUAUUUAGGUAGAUUUUUCUAAGGGGCAGUUCAUAUGAUCCCGCUUACACAAGAUUAAACGAGCGUGCAAUGAUUUUGAGAUAUUGAAAUAAG